Long non-coding RNA from Cydia amplana, 745 nucleotides. RefSeq lists it as uncharacterized. The transcript has 2 exons. The record is from RefSeq and is a predicted model, not a curated record. Lineage: Eukaryota; Metazoa; Arthropoda; Insecta; Lepidoptera; Tortricidae.
AAAUGAAAUACUAGUGGGAUAUUUAAUAAUAUGGGGUGUUGCAAGGUAUUUCGGCACACUAACUUAUAUUCGGGUAGCGGUCGGCUGCGGGCAUGUUAAGUCAACUAGUUAUUGUUAUAUUUUUAUUUCGGGUUCUGACCUUUUGUAAAUGGCAACACCUUUGAAUAUAGUGAUGGCUUGUAUAUUUGUAAGUUAUGUUGGUUUACAAAUCAGUAUUUUAAUAUUUGUGUGACAUUCCAGAUUUUAUAAACUUAAAUUAAUUUCAUUUGCUGCAUCUUUUCCAUAACUUGAAAUAGCUCUCUUUCUUGUUUCUUAAUAUGCAGUUGCAUGCAUAGAAAAAUUAUAAUUUGCCAAGAAUAAUGUAUUUAAGAAUUAAUGAGAUCUAUGUUGUUUUUUUUUUAUUAGAUUUUUCAUAUUUUCGGUAAUGAACUCAGUUGUAUUUAGAAACGUAACGUCAUUUUAAUUUACGUUUUCUUUUGUGGUCGUGCUUAUAUUAUAUUAUUGAAACUAUGGGGGCUGUCGCGAGUACUGAGGUUAGAUACGUUCCUUGGGGAUAAAAGCAUCUUGUCUCUGUCUCACUGGAGUCGUGGGAAAGAGACAAAACAAAACCCUAUCAGGCAUGCAAGACCUUCGAAUCGUGCGCCCAAAGUAGUAUUUUCGCUUUGAUACUGCACUUUAUUUUAAUUAAGUUUUUUUACUUGUGUUGUAUAAGUUUUACAUCAAAUACAGCGUGAUAUAUAUUUGA